GGGCUUGUGGUUUAGUGGUAUAAUACUCCCUUAGCAUCUACGGUUCGUCCGAGAAACUGGGAGUGGUCCGGGGUUCGAUUCCCCGCGAGUCCA
Non-coding RNA from Xylariaceae sp. AK1471, 93 nucleotides. The record is from the annotation of a GenBank genome assembly. NCBI's taxonomy places the organism in Eukaryota, Fungi, Ascomycota, Sordariomycetes, Xylariales, Xylariaceae.